GUCAAGCGAACAAGGGCGCAGGGCGAAUGCCUUGGCACUGGGAGCCGAUGAAAGACGUGAUAAGCUGCGAUAAGCUUCGGGGAGCUGCAAAUAAGCAUUGAUCCGGAGAUUUCUGAAUGAGGAAACUCACCUGGGUUCAUACUCAGGUACGUUAUACUGAACUUAAAAAUAGGUAUAUCGAGGGAACCGCCUGAACUGAAACAUCUAAGUAGGGCGAGGAAGAGACAUCAAACGAGAUUCCGUAAGUAGUGGCGAGCGAACGCGGAAGAGGGCAAACCGGAAGUAGAAAUACUUCCCGGGUACGGACCGCAUUUAGGACUUGAGUUGUUAACCGAACGGCAUGGGAAGGCCGGUCAGAGAGUGUGAGAACCACGUAGGUGAAAACGACAAGAGCUGAGCGAGUUCCAGAGUACGGCCAGACACGUGAAACCUGGUCGGAAUACGGGGGGACCACCCUCCAACCCUAAAUACUACCCAGUGACCGAUAGCGUAUAGUACUGUGAAGGAAAGGUGAAAAGCACCCCGGGAGGGGAGUGAAAAAGAACCUGAAACCCUGUGCCUACAAGCACCUAGAGCACGUCAAUGUGUGAUAGGGUACUUUUUGUAGAACGGUCCGGCGAGCGAUUGUAUGCAGCAAGGUUAAGGACUUAAGGUCUGGAGCCGAAGCGAAAGCGAGUUUGAAAAGGGCGUUAAGUUGCAUACAAUGGGCCCGAAACCGGGUGACCUACCCAUGGUCAGGUUGAAGUGGAAGUAAAAUUCCAUGGAGGACCGAACCGACCUCCGUUGAAAAGGCGGCGGAUGAACUGUGGGUAGCGGAGAAAUUCCAAUCGAACCCGGAGAUAGCUGGUUCUCCCCGAAAUAGUUUUAGGACUAGCCUCAAGUUAGAUACCUGGAGGUAAAGCACUGAAUAGCCUAGCGGCCGAGAGGUUAGCGAAGCUUAUCAAACUCAGAAUGCCAGAGUAUUGAUGCUUGGGAGUCAGACAGUGUCAGAUAAAUGUCAUUGUCAAAAGGGAAACAGCCCAGAUCUACAGCUAAGGUCCCAAAGUCAGGUUAAGUGGAAAACGAUGUGAAGAUACGUAGACAACCAGGAUGUUGGCUCAGAAGCAGCCACACAUUCAAAGAGUGCGUAAUAGCUCACUGGUCGAGCGUCUUUGCGCGGAGAAUUUAACGGGGCUAAACCUGACACCGAAGCUUAGGCAAUACAGUAAUGUAUUGGGUAGGGGAGCGUUGUAUACGCGGUGAAACAGUAGCGCAAGCGGCUGUGGAGUGUAUAGAAGUGAGAAUGCCGGAAUGAGUAGCGCGAAUGCAGUGAGAAUCUGCAUGGCCGAAAGCCUCAGGUUUCUGGAGGAAGGUUCGUCCGCUCCAGGUUAGUCGGGAGCUAAGGUGAGGCCUAACGGCGUAGCCGAUGCACAGACGGUAGAGAUUCCGUCACCACCAAAAGAGUUAAGCACAGGGACACAUUUGAAGUCUCGGAGCCGGGUGUUGGUUCCGGUAGCGAUCGAGGGAAGUUAGUACCGAAGUCCGGGAUGGAAGAUGGCGAGAAAAGCUGUGUGUAUUUCUGCGGUGCCCGUACCGCAAACCGACACAGGUAGGUAGGAAGAAGAUUCUAAGGCCAACGGGAGAAGGGUUGUUAAGGAACUCGGCAAAUUGACCCCGUAACUUCGGGAGAAGGGGUGCUCCAGAGAUGGAGCCGCAGAGAAUCGGCCCAAGCAACUGUUUACCAAAAACACAGGUUUGUGCUAAAUCGAAAGAUGACGUAUACGAGCUGACGCCUGCCCGGUGCUGGAAGGUUAAGAGGAGAUGUGCAAGCAUUGAAUCGAAGCCCCAGUGAACGGCGGCCGUAACUAUAACGGUCCUAAGGUAGCGAAAUUCCUUGUCAGGUAAGUUCUGACCCGCAUGAAAGGCGUAAUGAUUUGGGCACUGUCUCGACAGCCCGCCCGGCGAAAUUGUAGUACCGGUGAAGAUGCCGGUUACCCGCGACAAGACGGAAAGACCCCAUGGAGCUUUACUGUAGCCUAAUAUUGGGUUUCGAUGUUGCAUGCACAGGAUAGAUGGGACACAGGGAAACAAGUGCUUUGGCAUUUGUGGAGUGGCCGUUGGGAUACCAUCCUUGCGAUAUUGGAAUUCUAACCUGCGCCUUUGAAUCAAGGCGGGGGACAUUGUUAGGUGGGCAGUUUGACUGGGGCGGUCGCCUCCUAAAGAGUAACGGAGGCGUUCAAAGGUUCGCUCAGCUUGAACGGAAAUCAAGCAAAAGAGUGCAAACGCAGAAGCGAGCCUAACUGCGAGACUGACGGGUCGAGCAGUAACGAAAGUUGGAGUUAGUGAUCCGGUGGUAUGUGAGUGGAAAUGCCAUCGCUCAACGGAUAAAAGUUACCCUGGGGAUAACAGGCUGAUCUCCCCCAAGAGUCCACAUCGACGGGGAGGUUUGGCACCUCGAUGUCGGCUCAUCGCAUCCUGGGGCUGUAUUCGGUCCCAAGGGUUUGGCUGUUCGCCAAUUAAAGCGGUACGCGAGCUGGGUUCAGAACGUCGUGAGACAGUUCGGUCCCUAUCUGUCGUGGGCGCAGGAUAUUUGAUGGGAGCUGUUCCUAGUACGAGAGGACCGGAGCGGACGUACCUCUGGCGCACCAGUUGUUCUGCCAAGGGCAUAGCUGGGCAACUAUGUACGGAUCGGAUAAACGCUGAAAGCAUCUAAGCGUGAAGCCGACCCAAAGAUAAGAUAUCCCAUUGUUUCAAACAAGUAAGACCCCUUGAAGACUACAAGGUUGAUAGGCACGAUGUGUAAGUGGAGCGAUCCAUUCAGCAAGCGUGUACUAAUAGGUCGAGGGCUUGAC
This 2831-nucleotide ribosomal RNA is filed under the name Faecalibacterium prausnitzii. RNAcentral's name for it is "Bacterial large subunit ribosomal RNA". It matches the Rfam family "Bacterial large subunit ribosomal RNA". Lineage: Bacteria; Bacillati; Bacillota; Clostridia; Eubacteriales; Oscillospiraceae. The record is from RNAcentral.